GAUGAACGCUAGCGGGAGGCCUAACACAUGCAAGCCGAGCGGUAUUGUUUCUUCGGAAAUGAGAGAGCGGCGUACGGGUGCGGAACACGUGUGCAACCUGCCUUUAUCUGGGGGAUAGCCUUUCGAAAGGAAGAUUAAUACCCCAUAAUAUAUUGAAUGGCAUCAUUUGAUAUUGAAAACUCCGGUGGAUAGAGAUGGGCACGCGCAAGAUUAGAUAGUUGGUGAGGUAACGGCUCACCAAGUCUGCGAUCUUUAGGGGGCCUGAGAGGGUGAUCCCCCACACUGGUACUGAGACACGGACCAGACUCCUACGGGAGGCAGCAGUGAGGAAUAUUGGACAAUGGGUGAGAGCCUGAUCCAGCCAUCCCGCGUGAAGGACGACGGCCCUAUGGGUUGUAAACUUCUUUUGUAUAGGGAUAAACCUACUCUCGUGAGAGUAGC
RNAcentral lists this ribosomal RNA (441 nucleotides) under Chryseobacterium sp. SP9. Its description in RNAcentral is "bacterial SSU rRNA". It matches the Rfam family "Bacterial small subunit ribosomal RNA", at positions 28 to 469 of the family's 1533-position model. Lineage: Bacteria; Pseudomonadati; Bacteroidota; Flavobacteriia; Flavobacteriales; Weeksellaceae. The record is from RNAcentral.